Molecule: ribosomal RNA, 932 nt
Filed under: Escherichia coli
Lineage: Bacteria; Pseudomonadati; Pseudomonadota; Gammaproteobacteria; Enterobacterales; Enterobacteriaceae
Description: partial 23S ribosomal RNA
Rfam family: Bacterial large subunit ribosomal RNA
Source: RNAcentral
UUCGUCACACUAUCAUUAACUGAAUCCAUAGGUUAAUGAGGCGAACCGGGGGAACUGAAACAUCUAAGUACCCCGAGGAAAAGAAAUCAACCGAGAUUCCCCCAGUAGCGGCGAGCGAACGGGGAGCAGCCCAGAGCCUGAAUCAGUGUGUGUGUUAGUGGAAGCGUCUGGAAAGGCGCGCGAUACAGGGUGACAGCCCCGUACACAAAAAUGCACAUGCUGUGAGCUCGAUGAGUAGGGCGGGACACGUGGUAUCCUGUCUGAAUAUGGGGGGACCAUCCUCCAAGGCUAAAUACUCCUGACUGACCGAUAGUGAACCAGUACCGUGAGGGAAAGGCGAAAAGAACCCCGGCGAGGGGAGUGAAAAAGAACCUGAAACCGUGUACGUACAAGCAGUGGGAGCACGCUUAGGCGUGUGACUGCGUACCUUUUGUAUAAUGGGUCAGCGACUUAUAUUCUGUAGCAAGGUUAACCGAAUAGGGGAGCCGAAGGGAAACCGAGUCUUAACUGGGCGUUAAGUUGCAGGGUAUAGACCCGAAACCCGGUGAUCUAGCCAUGGGCAGGUUGAAGGUUGGGUAACACUAACUGGAGGACCGAACCGACUAAUGUUGAAAAAUUAGCGGAUGACUUGUGGCUGGGGGUGAAAGGCCAAUCAAACCGGGAGAUAGCUGGUUCUCCCCGAAAGCUAUUUAGGUAGCGCCUCGUGAAUUCAUCUCCGGGGGUAGAGCACUGUUUCGGCAAGGGGGUCAUCCCGACUUACCAACCCGAUGCAAACUACGAAUACCGGAGAAUGUUAUCACGGGAGACACACGGCGGGUGCUAACGUCCGUCGUGAAGAGGGAAACAACCCAGACCGCCAGCUAAGGUCCCAAAGUCAUGGUUAAGUGGGAAACGAUGUGGGAAGGCCCAGACAGCCAGGAUGUUGGCUUAGA